RNAcentral lists this ribosomal RNA (2908 nucleotides) under human gut metagenome. RNAcentral's name for it is "bacterial LSU rRNA". It matches the Rfam family "Bacterial large subunit ribosomal RNA". The record is from RNAcentral.
UAAAGCUAAUAAGGGCAUAUGGUGGAUGCCUUGGCACCAAGCGCCGAAGAAGGACGUGACAAGCUGCGAUAAGCUACGGUGAGCUGCAAAUAAGCUUUGACCCGUAGAUCUCCGAAUGAGGAAACUCACUUCCGGUAAUGCGGAAGUAUCCAUGUAUGAAUAUAUAGUACAUGUGAAGGGAACCCGGGGAACUGAAACAUCUAAGUACCCGGAGGAAAAGAAAGUAAAUAAACGAUUUCGUAAGUAGUGGUGAGCGAACGCGAAAGAGCCCAAACCGGAGAAAUUUAUUUCGAUGGGGUUCGGACCUGCAUAAUUCAAAAAAUCGUUAGUCGAACAUAGUUGGAAAACUAGGCGACACAGAGUAAUAGCCUCGUAGGCGAAAACGAUUUCAGAUGGCGGGUAUCCAGAGUAGCACAGGACACGUGUAAUCCGGUGUGAACAUGUGAGGACCAUCUCAUAAGGCUAAAUACGACUUGGUGACCGAUAGCGUAUAGUACCGUGAGGGAAAGGUGAAAAGGACCCCGGGAGGGGAGUGAAAGAGAACCUGAAACCAUAUGCUUACAAGCAGACACAGCACAACUUAAUGUGUGGUGUCGUACUUUUUGUAGAACGGGCCGGCGAGUUACGUUGCGUAGCGAGGUUAAGUGAUUAAGUCACGGAGCCGAAGCGAAAGCGAGUCUGAAACUGGCGACAUAGUUGCGUGACGUAGACCCGAAACUGGAUGACCUAACCAUGAGCAGGUUGAAGCAGUGGUAAGACACUGUGGAGGACCGAACCCACGUUCGUUGAAAAGACCGGGGAUGACUUGUGGUUAGCGGAGAAAUUCCAAUCGAAUCCAGAUAUAGCUGGUUCUCCUCGAAAUAGCUUUAGGGCUAGCCUCUGAAUAGAUUACUGAUGGUAGAGCACUGAAUGGGCUAGGGGGCUUCACAGCUUACUGAACCUUAUCAAACUUCGAAUGUCAGAUAAUUGUUUUCAGGGAGUCAGACAGCGUGAGAUAAGUUUCGUUGUCAAAAGGGAAACAGCCCAGAUCUACAACUAAGGUCCCUAAGUACAAGUUAAGUGGUAAAGGAUGUGUCAAUUCCAAAACAACCAGGAUGUUGGCUUAGAAGCAGCCACUCAUUUAAAGAGUGCGUAAUAGCUCACUGGUCGAGAGAGGGUGCGCCGAAAAUUACCGGGGCUAAAACUUGUCACCGAAGUUUAGGAAUGUAAUUUAUUACAUUGGUAGAGGAGCAAUCUAUGCGGGCUGAAGCGGUAUCGAAAGGGGCCGUGGACUGCAUAGAAGAGAGAAUGCCGGCAUAAGUAGCGAGAGGGAAGUGAGAAUCUUCCCCGUCGAAUGCCUAAGGUUUCCUGGGGAAGGUUUGUCCCCCCAGGGUAAGUCGGGACCUAAGCCGAGGCCGAAAGGCGUAGGUGAUGGACAGCAGGUAGAUAUUCCUGCACCACCGAGCGACGUUUAAAUGAGGCAAUGACACAGUAGGAUAGUCAAUCCGCGGAGUUGGAUUUCUGCGGCCAAAUCGUGAGGCUUGCACGUAGUGAAGUACGCGUGCUUUAAGGCUGGGCGAUGAUGGGGAGUGAAAAUUAGUAACGAAGUUGAUGAAUUCACACUGGCGAGAAAAGUUGCUAAAUAUGUUGUUAGGUGCCCGUACCGCAUACCGACACAGGUGGGCGAGGAGAAAAUCCUAAGACGGACGGGAUAACCCUUGUUAAGGAACUCUGCAAAAUGACCCCGUAACUUCGGAAGAAGGGGAGCCUACGAAAGUAGGCCGCAGUGAAGAGGCCCAAGCAACUGUUUACCAAAAACACAGGUCUCUGCAAAAUCGUAAGAUGAUGUAUAGGGGCUGACGCCUGCCCAGUGCUGGAAGGUUAAGGGGAUGUGUUAGCGCAAGCGAAGCACGGAACUUAAGCCCCAGUGAACGGCGGCCGUAACUAUAACGGUCCUAAGGUAGCGAAAUUCCUUGUCAGGUAAGUUCUGACCCGCACGAAUGGCGUAAUGAUUUGGGCGCUGUCUCAACAGGGGACCCGGCGAAAUUGUAUUAUACGUGAAGAUGCGUAUUACCCGCGACUGGACGGAAAGACCCCGUAGAGCUUUACUGUAGCUUGGUAUUGAAGUUCGGUGAUUUAUGUACAGGAUAGGUGGGAGACUUGGAAACAGGGGCGUCAGCUUCUGCGGAGUCACCCUUGGGAUACCACCCUUGAAUCAUUGGACCUCUAACACUAGACCGUAAUCCGGCUGGUGGACAGUGCCAGGUGGGCAGUUUGACUGGGGCGGUCGCCUCCCAAAAUGUAACGGAGGCGUUCUAAGGUUCCCUCAGGAUGGUUGGAAAUCAUCCAAAGAGCGUAAAGGUAGAAGGGAGCUUAACUGCGAGACAGACAUGUCGAGCAGAUACGAAAGUAGGACUUAGUGACCCGGCGGUAGAGUAUGGAAUUGCCGUCGAUUAACGGAUAAAAGUUACCUCGGGGAUAACAGGCUGAUCUCCCCCAAGAGUUCACAUCGACGGGGAGGUUUGGCACCUCGAUGUCGGCUCGUCACAUCCUGGGGCUGUAGUCGGUCCCAAGGGUUCGGCUGUUCGCCGAUUAAAGUGGCACGCGAGCUGGGUUCAGAACGUCGUGAGACAGUUCGGUCCCUAUCCAUCGUGGGCGUAGGAUAUUUGCGAGGCUCUGCUCCUAGUACGAGAGGACCGGAGUGGACGUACCUAUGGUGCAUCUGUUGUCACGCCAGUGGCAUAGCAGGGUAGCGAUGUACGGAUUGGAUAAACGCUGAAAGCAUCUAAGCGUGAAACCAGCCUCAAGAUAAGAUAUCCCUUUGUUUAUCAAGUAAGACCCCUUGUAGACCACAAGGUUGAUAGGUCGGGUGUGUAAGUGCAGUAAUGCAUUAAGCUGACCGAUACUAAUAGGUCGAGGGCUUCAAUCA